RNA transcript from Zea mays, 2597 nucleotides. RefSeq lists it as uncharacterized. The record is from RefSeq and is a predicted model, not a curated record. Lineage: Eukaryota; Viridiplantae; Streptophyta; Magnoliopsida; Poales; Poaceae. The transcript has 14 exons.
ACUCCCGCCGCGCCGAAUGCUCCCCAACGCCCUGUACAAUCCGGGGGAGAGGUCAAGGAAGGCGAGCGACGCUCGGCAGGAAGGGCAUCCCGCGAGGCCGCGACAGUGGCGGCACUCCGCUCCCACCAACCCACAACACUGAUCCCCUCCUCGCCGAGCUGCCGCCGGGGAUAAGCGUGGGGGAGUGAGAAGCCAAAAUCUAAGACACCGAUCCCCGGGCGUGAGUCGCGAAGGUAGCGGCGGAGAAAAGGGUGGAGCCACAACGCGGUCGUGAGCCCGCAGCCACCGGUUCCGUGCGGCUAGACGGAGAGAGAGGAGGAGGGAGCCGCCAUUGCCGUAGAUCUCCAGGAGCUUCUUGAGGGUUAGAGACGGGAGGAUGACAGUUAGAGUAGUGAUGAGGUACCUUGUUAACAAGCUGGGCCUUGAGGACGAUUCACAGGUUAAUGAUACUAUUGAGAUGCUUGAGAGAAUGGCUCACCGUGGUGCCUGCGGCUGCGAGAAGAAUACAGGAGAUGGUGCCGGCAUCAUGGUCGCUCUACCACAUGACUUCUUCAAAGAGGUCGCAAAGGAUGCUGGGAUUGAGCUACCCCCACUAGGCGAGUAUGCUGUUGCAAUGUUUUUUAUGCCAACAGAUGAAAAGCGUCGUAAGAAAGGCAAAGCUGAGUUUAAGAAGGUUGCAGAAUCACUGGGACAUGUAAUACUCGGGUGGCGUCUGGUUCCGACUGACAACUCAGACUUGGGUGAAUCUGCACUCGAGACUGAGCCAGUCAUUGAGUAGGUUUUCGUUACCAAGAGCUCAAUAUCAGAGGCUGAGUUUGAGCAACAGCUAUAUAUCCUUAGGAGACUCUCAAUCAUCUCUGUUCGAGCCUCUCUGAACAUUAAGCGUGGUGGAGAGAGGGAUUUCUACAUGUGCUCUCUAUCUUCUAGGACUAUUGUUUAUAAGGGCCAGCUUAAACCGUCCUAGCUUAAGGGGUACUACUAUGCAGACCUAGGUCAUGAAAACUUCAUGAGUUAUAUGGCUCUGGUAAAUACAAAACUUUGGCACUUACACAAAAAUUGUCAUGAUCAUAGUCGACGGAUGGGAACCAAUAAUAGCAAGGCUGUUGUAAGAAGAUACACUCCUAUAUAAGAGAUGGUUCGUUUCGGCGUCCAUGCAGGGUGUGGAAUGGAUCCAGUUUGUCCCAGUUCGGAAAUCGGAAUGGUGAACACAUAUGAGAUGAGCUUCCCGGAUAUGCUUUAAUACAAUCAGGUAUUAUCAAGAAAAUAAGAAGAAAAGAAACAGAUGGCUACUUUGAGGUAAAUAUUUCAGGGCCAUUUGUAUUUACUUAUGAGGUUUAGAUCAAAUGAUAGAUGAUGUCCUGCAUGAUUUUGGAAUUGCAUUUGUAUUGUAUAAACCUGAAUAUAAAUGCCAUUAUUAAAUUUGUGAAGUAGUCCGAUAGCAUCAAAAAUUUGUGAAGUAGUCUGAUAGCAACAGAAACUAUAAUUAAUUGAGUCUUAUUACUCACACUAGAUCUUGUCCCCCACCGCCUGAUCUGACUACUUUUGAGCUGAUUUGGUCAGGAAAGGUGCCAUUUUUACCCAGCGGCUUCCUCGCCACCAAAUUAAAGGUUGCAUUUUGUCUCCGGUCUCACCAUUCCCAUUUUAUUCUCUGCGUGUUGCUGUCUGCUCCAGGGCGACAGUGGGCAUGCUGCUCGGCGUCGAGGACAUGCACAGGUUCCCGGUGCGCUCCCCGUGGAUGGACCGCGGCGACCUCAUCCGCAGUCCCGCCGCGCGAUAGAUCGUGUCCAACUACUUCAGCAUGUUCGGGCCGGUGCAGGACGUGCGCAUCCCGUAUCAGCAGAAGCGCAUGUUCGGCUUCGUCACCUUCGUGUACGCUGAGACGGUGAAGGUCAUCCUGAGCAAGGGCAACCCGCACUUUGUGUGCGACGCUCGCGUGCUCGUCAAGCCCUACAAGGAGAAGGGCAAGGUCCCCGGUAGGUUUAGGAAGCUGCAGCACACGCACCAUGGCGGAGCCGAGUUCGUCGGUUGCGCGUCGCCCACUGGAUUGCUGGAUUCCAGGGACCCCUACGCCCUCCUGCUUCUUUCAGGUGCCCAGGUUUUCUCCUGGGCAUGAAGCCAUUGGGCUAUGAUGUGUGAGGUGCACAGAGCAAAAAAGGGGGAGGGCCCCCCUCCAUUCCUCUAAUCUGGGAGGGACUACUAAUAUGGCUACAUGAUGGCCGGUCCCAUCAACCGAGCAUAGAGAAGCUUUGAUAAAGAAAAAAGAAAUACCUUUGGAGAGGUGUAAUCUUCUUCAGAGUGGGAGAAGGAGGGGACAGUGAAGACAACAACAGAGAAGAAACAAGUCCAGUUUGUUUUUUAGCUCUUAGGCCUAUGAUAAGUAUAUGAUAGUAAGUGAGUGAGUAGUAGGCAUAAAUAAUAGUAGUAGUAGUUAAUUAGUAGUCGUUUAUUAGUAGCUGCUGCCAGUGUCAAGAAGGUGAUGAAAAGGCACACUCCAGCUCUCUCCUAUGCUCGUUUGUGGCAUGGAUGGAUCUCUCACUGUUGCUAUGAUAUGUUGUUUUAUUUAUAAUAUCGUGUGUAUAAAUAUUUCAUGUUUUUCA